This 376-nucleotide ribosomal RNA is filed under the name uncultured bacterium. RNAcentral describes it as "bacterial SSU rRNA". It matches the Rfam family "Bacterial small subunit ribosomal RNA", at positions 524 to 898 of the family's 1533-position model. The record is from RNAcentral.
UACGUAGGGUGCGAGCGUUAAUCGGAAUUACUGGGCGUAAAGCGUGCGCAGGCGGUUUUGUAAGUCAGAUGUGAAAUCCCCGGGCUCAACCUGGGAACUGCGUUUGAAACUACAAGGCUAGAGUGUAGCAGAGGGGGGUAGAAUUCCACGUGUAGCAGUGAAAUGCGUAGAGAUGUGGAGGAAUACCAAUGGCGAAGGCAGCCCCCUGGGUUAACACUGACGCUCAUGCACGAAAGCGUGGGGAGCAAACAGGAUUAGAUACCCUGGUAGUCCACGCCCUAAACGAUGUCUACUAGUUGUUGGUGGAGUAAAAUCCAUUAGUAACGCAGCUAACGCGUGAAGUAGACCGCCUGGGGAGUACGGUCGCAAGAUUAAA